Molecule: transfer RNA, 72 nt
Filed under: Nippostrongylus brasiliensis
Lineage: Eukaryota; Metazoa; Nematoda; Chromadorea; Rhabditida; Heligmosomidae
Rfam family: tRNA
About the family: Transfer RNA (tRNA) molecules are approximately 80 nucleotides in length. Their secondary structure includes four short double-helical elements and three loops (D, anti-codon, and T loops).
Source: Rfam by way of RNAcentral
ACCUCCGUAGCACUGUGGUCAGCGCAGUCUGCCGAGAACAGAAAGACGCGGGUUAAAUUCCCGUCCGAUGUC